GACGAACGCUGGCGGCGUGCUUAACACAUGCAAGUCGAACGGUAAGGCCCUUCGGGGUACACGAGUGGCGAACGGGUGAGUAACACGUUGGUGAUCUGCCCUGCACUUCGGGAUAAGCCUGGGAAACUGGGUCUAAUACCGGAUAGGACUCCGGACUGCAUGGUCUGGGGUGGAAAGCUUUUGCGGUGUGGGAUGGGCCCGCGGCCUAUCAGCGUGUUGGUGGGGUGAUGGCCUACCAAGGCGACGACGGGUAGCCGGCCUGAGGGGGUGACCGGCCACACUGGAGCUGAGAUACGGCCCAGAGUCCUGCGGGAGGCAGCAGUGGGGAAUAUUGCACAAUGGGCGCAAGCCUGAUGCAGCGACGCCGCGUGAGGGAUGACGGCCUUCGGGUUGUAAACCUCUUUCAGCAUCGACGAAGCGAAAGUGACGGUAGGUGCAGAAGAAGGACCGGCCAACUACGUGCCAGCCGCCGCCGUAA
RNAcentral lists this ribosomal RNA (478 nucleotides) under uncultured bacterium. RNAcentral describes it as "partial 16S ribosomal RNA". It matches the Rfam family "Bacterial small subunit ribosomal RNA", at positions 28 to 523 of the family's 1533-position model. The record is from RNAcentral.